UCCCUGGUGGCUCAGACGGUAAAGCGUCUGCCUACAAUGCGGGAUACCCGGGUUCAAACCUGGGUCAGGAAG
RNAcentral lists this transfer RNA (72 nucleotides) under Bos taurus (domestic cattle). It matches the Rfam family "tRNA". From Rfam's summary of the family: Transfer RNA (tRNA) molecules are approximately 80 nucleotides in length. Their secondary structure includes four short double-helical elements and three loops (D, anti-codon, and T loops). RNAcentral also lists the same sequence under 3 other names. Lineage: Eukaryota; Metazoa; Chordata; Mammalia; Artiodactyla; Bovidae. The record is from Rfam by way of RNAcentral.